GUAGGUGAACCUGCGGAAGGAUCAUUAUUGAAUAAACUUGAACAGGCUGUUUUUAUUGCUGGCCCUUGGGGGCAUGUGCACGCUUGUUCAAUCUUUAUUUCUCCCACUGUGCACAUCUUGUAGACCCUGGAAAGUCUUUUUGAUUUCUUCGAAUGAGGAUUGCUGUGAAAAUCAGCUUUGCCUUGCCAUUUCCAGGGUCUAUGUCGUUUUCACAACCUCUGAAACGUGUUUAGAAUGUUGAAAUGGAUUAUAAUGUAAUACAACUUUCAGCAACGGAUCUCUUGGCUCUC
Molecule: unclassified non-coding RNA, 290 nt
Filed under: rhizosphere metagenome
Description: partial ribosomal RNA internal transcribed spacer region
Source: RNAcentral